RNAcentral lists this ribosomal RNA (319 nucleotides) under uncultured eukaryote. RNAcentral's name for it is "partial 18S ribosomal RNA". It matches the Rfam family "Eukaryotic small subunit ribosomal RNA", at positions 1470 to 1796 of the family's 1831-position model. The record is from RNAcentral.
CCCUUAGAUGUUCUGGGCCGCACGCGCGCUACAAUGGUCUUCGCAAACGGAUGCAUUCUCGAAGGAGAAUGCCAAUCUUGGAAUCUAUGCCUUGGUCGGGACAGUUGCUUGCAAUUUUUCGAUUCGAACCAGGAAUUCCUUGUAAUCGUGAUUCAUCACAUCACGAUGAAUACGUCCCUGCCCUUUGUACACACCGCCCGUCGCUCCUACCGAUCGAAGAGUUAGGUGAAUUGUUUUGAUCGAUAAGAUUUGACUAUGGUCAACUCUCGUUGUGAAAUUCUGUGAAUCUGACUGUUUAGAGGAAGGAAAAGUCGUAACA